This 253-nucleotide ribosomal RNA is filed under the name uncultured bacterium. Its description in RNAcentral is "partial 16S ribosomal RNA". It matches the Rfam family "Bacterial small subunit ribosomal RNA", at positions 524 to 776 of the family's 1533-position model. The record is from RNAcentral.
CACGUAGGGGACGAGCGUUGUCCGGAAUCAUUGGGCGUAAAGCGCGCGUAGGCGGCCCGGCAAGUCGGAUGUGAAAUCCCGGGGCUCAACCCCGGGCCUGCAUCCGAUACUCCCGGGCUGGAGGCAGGUAGGGGAGAUCGGAAUUCCUGGUGUAGCGGUGAAAUGCGCAGAUAUCAGGAGGAACACCGGUGGCGAAGGCGGAUCUCUGGGCCUUGCCUGACGCUGAGGCGCGAAAGCUAGGGGAGCGAACAGG